UGGGGAAUAUUGCACAAUGGGGGAAACCCUGAUGCAGCAACGCCGCGUGAGGGAAGACGGUUUUCGGAUUGUAAACCUCUGUCUUUAGGGACGAAAAAAAUGACGGUACCUGGAGAAAAAGCAACGGCUAACUACGUGCCAGCAGCCGCGGUAAUACGUAGGUUGCAAGCGUUGUCCGGAUUUACUGGGUGUAAAGGGCGUGUAGGCGGAGAAGCAAGUUGGGAGUGAAAUCCAUGGGCUCAACCCAUGAACUGCUCUCAAAACUGUUUCCCUUGAGUAUCGGAGAGGCAAGCGGAAUUCCUAGUGUAGCGGUGAAAUGCGUAGAUAUUAGGAGGAACACCAGUGGCGAAGGCGGCUUGCUGGACGACAACUGACGCUGAGGCGCGAAAGCGUGGGGAGCAAACAGGAUUAGAUACC
RNAcentral lists this ribosomal RNA (417 nucleotides) under uncultured bacterium. Its description in RNAcentral is "bacterial SSU rRNA". It matches the Rfam family "Bacterial small subunit ribosomal RNA", at positions 355 to 786 of the family's 1533-position model. The record is from RNAcentral.